AUGGCCUCAGAGCUAGGGUUAGCGCCGCCGGCGAAACGCCCGACACCGUCCCCCACCACGAUUACCGCUAUCGGAGACGACCUCCUCCUCGAGAUCUUCCUCCGCCUCCCCUCCCUCCCGAGCCUCGUCCGCGCCGCCCUCGCCUGCCGCACCUUCCUCGACGCGGUCCGUUCGUCCCCCGCCUUCCGCCGCCGCUUCCGCGCGCUCCACCAGCCCCAGCUCCUCGGAUUCUUCAUCGACUCCUGCCGUAGCAAUCCCUUCGUCCCGUUCCGCAGCCGCUCCGACCCGGACCUCGCCGCCGCCGUCCGCGGCGCCGAUUUCCUCCUCACCCGCCUCCCGGAGGACAGCGAUUCCUCCCCCGGAUGGCACAUAGAGACCUGCUACGGUGGCUGCGUCGUCCUCGUCAACCUGUCUACAUACCAGGUCGCUGCUUACAACCCCCUUACGCAGGCACUGCAUCUCUUCCCCUUUCCGACCACCAACGGGAUCCUCGUCAACGCCUUGCCUGAGUUCAUUUUCUUAUCCGAAGAGGACCAGGAGGCCCGUAUGAUCUGUGUCCAACACCGGAACAAGCCGGAGCAAGUGCCGGCGCGUCUAGCUGUUUUCUCACCGGCCACCAGGGAGUGGCAGAUCUUGCCGUGGGUGGAGACCCCCCAGCCAUCUCAACCUGAGGACGAUGAAGACAGCGAUCCCCCGUUUCUCCCUGGUACACAGCUGAAAGGAUUCGUUUAUUGGAGACACGCGAGUAAAGCUUAUGUACUCGUUCUCAACACUGCAACAAUGCAAUUCUCCAGAGUGGAUUUGCCGCCAUUCUUAGAGAUGGACCCUACGCUGUUAAGUGUGAGUUUGGGUCAUAGCAAGGAUGGAAAGCUCUGCCUGGCUGUCAUAGAGACAGAAACGCUUAUUGUUUGGCUUUGGAGAGCUGAUGAUGAUGGUGUUGAGAAAUGGAUGCAGGAAGGUACUUUUCCGCUGAGUACAUUUGUGGAUGACACUAAGAUUUCAGCAGAGGAUUAUACCACAGUGCAGAUCGAGGAUGUCAUUGAGGGCUUUGUGUACGUGUCUACUAAGUAUGAUGGGUACACCGAGUCCCUCCAUUCCCUCUGCCUGGAAACAGCAAAGCUGAACAAGCUUUUUGAUAAUAAGUAUACAAACACUGCUCAUCCUUACAUCAUGGCGUGGCCUCCUUCUUUGGUAGGCAACAAGGAAGAUUUAGAAAACAAAGUUACCGGAGAGAAUGUGGCGAAUGAUGGUCCAGCGGGCCCAGAAGAAGCUCCCUCUGUUCUUGUCACAGCAUUGCGGUCAUAUAAAGAAGCUCUUAUUAAUGAUGAUGGGGCAAAAGUUGCGGAGAUAGAGUCAUUUCUACUUUCUAUUGAGGAUGAGAAAAAGUCUCUAGCAGCACAGUUGACAACUGCGAGAGAUUGUAUCUUGAGGAUAAGUGCCGACAUUGAUGGCUACAGAAGAAGGCCAGAAAGAGAGAGUCAGUUUCCUUCUGCUUGGUUUUAUAUCUGA
This 1509-nucleotide ribosomal RNA is filed under the name Triticum aestivum (bread wheat). Its description in RNAcentral is "partial small subunit ribosomal RNA". The record is from RNAcentral. Lineage: Eukaryota; Viridiplantae; Streptophyta; Magnoliopsida; Poales; Poaceae.